AAUGAAGGAAACAUUCGGUUUAGAGCGCGCUUUCGACAGCGGCGUGCGCACACUCGUCUGACGUUAAGCUCAUUAUGACGUCAUAAGUAAGUGGGUUAGCCCCUAUCUCUCCCUGCUCUAACUGUUCCCAAGACAUCUCGCGGGCGAUGCCAAAAGCAACACCCUGUAAUCUAGCUGCAUACCACUCGCACCGCAGGCUGGUAUAUCACCUUCGCAUCUCUUAUCUAUCUGCCCGGAUAGAGUCAGUUUUCUGUGGCCACAAGUGAUACGCAAUAAUUAAUAUUUAUUGGUGGCCAGCGAAUAUUUAAUCUCUUCACACCCGACUUGUAAAAAAACAAUAAAUGAUAAAUCUCUG
This is a long non-coding RNA of Tribolium castaneum (red flour beetle), 355 nucleotides long. RefSeq lists it as uncharacterized. NCBI's taxonomy places the organism in Eukaryota, Metazoa, Arthropoda, Insecta, Coleoptera, Tenebrionidae. The transcript has 2 exons. The record is from RefSeq and is a predicted model, not a curated record.